Non-coding RNA from Taeniopygia guttata (zebra finch), 5721 nucleotides. NCBI's taxonomy places the organism in Eukaryota, Metazoa, Chordata, Aves, Passeriformes, Estrildidae. The record is from RefSeq and is a predicted model, not a curated record.
UCAGACUGCAGCUCUCACCACUCUUGGAUAUCACAUGAGAGCAUUCAGCAAAAAGGUGCUUGGGAACAGAACGAGAGCAGGAAAAAUGGACUUGUCCCUGCACAUUCAGUGAUAAUUUGAGUGUUAGGUGGUGAUAAGGGCUACAGUCAUCUUCAGGAGUACUGAAUGUCUGUACACCAGUUUCUAGGAGAAUGAAGUUACAUUUUUGCUAAAGGAAUCUGAUUAAAGAAUUCUGCCAACUGCAGUAAUACAACCAUUACAAGGAUUUCUUAUCAGUCUGGAAAAUGAACUCAUAAGCAUUAUAAUAGUGAACAUGACUGGAAAAUUUCCAAUUAAAAAUAUUAAUUAAUGGCAUAGCAUAAGUCACAGUUGAGACAGCCACAAUACACAAAGUUCCAUCAUACAAAUUCAGAAAGCUUCAACCCAUACAGAUAACACCACACCACUUCAGAAGGCUUCAAGAGUCUGCCCUUCUUGUUCUUUAGCCCCGCCUUUUAUACCCCUCAUGGUUCAUGCAUGGUACCUGUGUGCCCUCUGUUCCCUUUGGUGUUUGGUCAGUGCUCCUGGGCACUCCAUGGCUCAUUGCUGUCAGUGCUGCUCACCUGCCCUGCACAGCUGUGGCCCACUGGGGAUGAGGGUCGGCCAUAGCCUCACUUCCAAUUACUACAAACUGUGUGCCUACAGAUUUAUUCAAGACAACAAGUAAGACCAUCAAGAGAAUUGUUUUGAACUCUGGUUAAUGACAUUUUACUUUUCCCAGGUUUGUGUGCAAAAUCAAAAUGCUAAAUCAUUAAUGUAAAAUGGAAUCUUGGAAAAUGUCCAUUUUAAAUUAAAAAUUCAGUGUUGAAACUUUAUUUUUCUAUUUCUUUCUGUCUCAUUCAAUUUAAUAAUUUAAAUAUCAAAUUAAAUAACUCAAGUGUUAUGAAAAAAUCUAGUUGAUCAAAACUAGCCCUUUUCUGAAUAUAGUUUCAAUUCAUAAUAUUAUUUCCAGCUAUACAUUUCAAAUGAAUCAAUCAGAUAUUUUUACUGCAUACUGAAUGUGUCAUUUUUGAGGACAUGAUGCUUACAAUGAAUAUGUCACUUUUCCUUAAGGUUAAAAAAAUCAGCAGUCCUGUUAAAUUUUUUAAUUUGAAAGUUAGAUAUGACCACAUUUUUGAGGAAGAAAGUCCUUAAUUCCUGAAAUAAAGGUUUUUUUGAAGAAGAUUUUAAAACACGUAAUAUGUUUUAAGAUGUCCAACCACAAUUAAUUCCAGGAUACUUAACAAUUUUUUUGUACGUUAGAUAUGAAUUUAGUAACAUAACAGUAUUAUAUAGAUAACACAGAAUUGUGUUUUGGUACUCUGUUACAGAUUGCUAUAUUGUAUUAUUGUACUUCUGAAACACUCUAGUUUCUUUUCAAUUCUUUGGCCAAUACUGAACAUUUUUCUUCCUCUUCCUUGAUGCAUUUAGGAUUACAAAAUCUAGUCAGAGAGAUCAAAGAGUUCAUUCUAAAGGUUAAACACAUUAUUAUUUAAACAAUGACCACGAGGUCUAAUAAAAGAAGGAGACUGAUCCAGCAAAUAGUCUGGCAAAGUAUCAAAUAUUCUCAAUCCAAGAAUAACAAAACAAAAUAACAAAACACCCAAAAGCAACCUAUCCAACAAACAGAAGCAGCAUACAAGUCUAAAUGUUACUGUAAGUUUAAGCAGUAUCUGGAAAGGAUAAUGGAAAGAAGCAAUUUCAUUGAAAACUUGGGUCAAACAAUUCAAGAAAAAGUCUUAUGCCAAGUCCUCAUCUAGUGGAUGUUAUGGUUGUGUUUCCUUCAUGAAAAUUUGGGAAGGAUUUUCAUACGGGUAUCACAGUGAAUUUCACUGAGUGAGGAUUUGUCUGCUGAACAGGGCAAAUACAUGUGUUUUGAGAAAAUUCAUUGACUCGACUUGAUCAAUCUUAUUCCAGGACUUGUAGUUUUAUGUCUCUUUGUUUCAGCUGUAAAGCGAAGGCUCAUGCAAUGUGAACUACCUGUUAUCAAUCAAGGAAUUCACUUCUUCAGUGACUGCGCUUCUUUGAAGUGCUGGGAGAAACAGAAAUAUUUAUCAUGUUCUCAAGGUGGUUUCUGAACCUUUCAAUCUUAUAUCUAGAUUACAGCCAAUACCCCUUUCGUCAGCCAUUUCGUAGAUUGUGAAAUCAGCAGUUUGAAAAGACAUUCUCAGCACAGGAAGCACAGAGGAAGUAGGACACAUAAUCAAUCUUCAGGCUCCCAUGGACUCCCAUGGAACCUGCAAACAGGUUGUUAUUUCUGUAGUCAUCCAAAGGAUUAGAUUGCUUGGUAACACAUCUUCACUGUCUCUCUCUCUCUGCCUUUCAUUCUGUGUGCUUUAGCCCUUUUCCUUCUCUCAUAUAUUGCUACAUGUUGCCUAUAUUUUAUUUUUAAUUAUUUUUGUAAAAUAUCCACUAUUGCUUUUUCACUCAGCCAAGCACAUUCUGCAGUGAGAUCACAACUGCUUAUAACACUUGAAAGAUAUAUUCAGCAUGGCAUCUUUGGAAAAAAAGAAAACCAAAAUGUACUAAUGGGUUGUUGUUUGGUUUUUUGUUUGUUUUUUUUUUUUUUUGCUGUUUUGGAAAUUCAGCCAGAAAUAAAAUAUCAACAUACAUAUGCUAUCAUUAAGCAUAUGUAAAAAGCAAGGAUCAUGCUAUCUCUUCAUGAUAGUGAUACCUUGUUCAUUGAUAAGUAGAAAAUUAUAUUUACUGUGCAGUGUUUCAAUUCCAUCAGCAUCUUACCCACUCCUGAAUGCAUAAUUUGAUUUACAAGUAUUGUUCUACUUUUGUACCCUGUGCUCUUCCUUUGCUUUUUGUUGCUUUCAGCCAUUUUUCUCAGCUCCUGUAAUAACCUUGAUCGCUUCCAGUCACUUCGUUAGGCUCCUCUGGAAGCCAUCCUCAUAGUGAGCUCUUGACAGCACUCAUCAAUUUUAGAUGUUUCAAUUAAUUGAGCCAGCACCAAUCUCCUGGCUGCCUCCGUUAGCUCCUUCUGCCAAUACUUCAAAACCUCCAGCAAAGCAAUACUCUAGAAUGGCAAUAGCUCAGUGGCCUCAACACAGUGAGGCUAGCUUGGUAGCUUAAGCAGAAAUUUUAGUCAGAAAUAUCCUGUCAUGUACCCCUGCUCCAAAUUCAAUUUUCAGCUCUCUUUCUAGGGGUGUAUAAUAACAUGGAAAUCCCCAAAGAUUGGUGAAUAAGAGUUUUUUGGGGGUUUUUUUUGCCCCUUAUUGUUAGUAGAGGUAUGUUGUUUCCUAGACUGAUGAGCUCAUAAGGUAAUGAAUUCAGAGGUCUUAAAAACAAUGGGAAGUCCUUUCUAGUUGAAUUCUAUUCAUGCAUUCGGUAUCAAUGUAUGUGUGUGCACACGUGCAUCUCUGGCGUGACCUGAAAAUUCCAGAGAAAUAAAAAGGAAAAAACACAAUUUGCUGUAAGCUUCUCCACUGGAGUAUGUAUUUGCUAGUAAGUGCUUUAAAAUUGUUACUUGAAUACUUCCACAUUAAUUUAGUAUUUUUACACUUUUAACCACAUCAAAUAAUUUAUGUUGAGGCCCAAUGCAAACACAAAUUAAAUCCACUCUUCUGCAGCUUUUCAGUAAGACGCCACCAAGGUUUAAUUCAAGGCAGUUACCUCUAAUUAGAAAAAAACUAAACUUUAAAGUAAUUGAACAUUGAACACAGUUAUUGGGAGGCUGAUUGCAUAGUGCACAAGCCUGCUUCUGCAGCAGAGAAAGAUAUUAAGAUAUUGAAGUGAAUACAGAUAAAUACUUUUUUACAGAAACGAAAAGCAUUCUUAUCUAAACUAUUCUGUUACAGUCUUUGGUGCUAUCACAGAAUUGGCUCACCUUGAAUCCACACACACGUUUAUAGUUACAUAAAGUAUCAUAACCAAAUGUUUCUUUCUACCUACCUAGCCUGUAAAACUGAAUUUAGUGGAUAUAUUCAUCCUCAGAUUCAAAGAUAAGAGAUGCAAGAUCUGAUCUCAUCUUUGUAUAUUGUCAAAGCAUUUUUAUGGAUGUCAUUCUCAUUAUGCUGAGAAUCAAGUAAUUUGUAUAUUUGGGCCUAAUUCUAAACAAUUUAUCCCAAUAUUUCACUUUCGGUAGAGCCAGUGGGAGUGGUGUAAGUUCGCCUAAAAGAAGAAUUAGAGUUUUAAUGAAUAAACUUGAUCAGAAAUAUUUCUAUAUCUUUUAUUUCCUUUUUUUUUUUCUUUCUUUCUUCUUGCUAGCAACGAGGAUUGUUGUGUAAGAUAGUAUGGUGCAACUGAGUGCAUUUUCCAUUUGAAUAAGGAACAGCAUUUUUGCUGUAUGUGAUGGUUGUCUUACUGAAAAAUGUGCUGUUUCCCUAGAGGAACCUGGAUCUCACAAACAAUGCAGUUGAGUGCCUUUUAUGUAGUUUAUAACUUAUUGUCAGUGAAGGAAUGAUCCAAUUAGUAAGUGAUUAAUCACAGGUUCCUUCAGGUCUCAAACUGUGUAUUAAAAGUUUAUGGAAUAAAAGAGUAUUUCAUGCACAUGUCUGCACCUAAUGAGUAAUAGCCACCUGGGAAUGAGAACUACAUUUAAAAAAAAAGAACAGGGGCAACAGCACAAAGUACUAAUCAUUUGACUAAUUUCCAUUGUCACUGAGAAACAUACCUUUGCCAGACAAUCAUAAUUAUAAAUACAUUAAAAUUAAUUAAUAUUUUAUUGUCCAAAACCAGCAAAGAAAAUAUUCAAUAUUUCCAUCCUAACCAGUUUUUUGACAUUUAAGCAGCAUACAGAAGUAAAGUUUGCUCUACAGAAUUUCAUUCUGAUAUGGGACAUAAGAAAAUAUGCAUAAUUUCAAACAAUGAUUUAAAAUGUUAAUUUUUAGAGAAACCUAAUUAGCAUGCAAAGUGAAAUACUUUAUUUUGUAAAAAACCCAUUGUGAAUAUUAAACACAAAAUCCUUUGAAUAUAUUUUUAUUUUGUGGAUGUACAAAUGCUUGUAGCAUGUACAUUCCACCAUGAUUUAUCAAAUUAUUUUAUAUAAGCCUGUUAUUAUAUAUGUUCCAUUUUUCAAUUUUUCACUCACUAAAUUUCACAUAAGGAGUAAUGUUAUGAUGCUAUAUUUUGACAGUAAGGUGGAAUACAACAAAAGAAUGUUGAUGAAAUAGAUGAUGAAAUAUGAUAGAAAAACAGACUUUUCAGUGCUGAACCUUAACACCCAAAUCUUAUUAGUUUUGUGAUAAAAUAUCAAUGAAUAUCUAAUACAGAUAAAAUGGAAGUGUGAAAAAUUGCUAAAUUAAAGUUUCAAAUAUCAGCUUUCAGGUGAACAAGCAGAAUAAAUCUUCAUCAUCUUUAUGUGGUUUGCACCUUAAAUUAGUAGAACAGUACCCUUGAGUACCAUAGUGAGACUAAUAAGGAACUCAUUAAAUAAAGUGUGGAAUCUUCACAUGUGCUUCUUAAAAUCAUAUUUCAUACGUUGCUUGUUUGAACAAUGAACCCUUGAUCUUGGUAUAAUGUUUGUAGUUUAGCUGAAAGACUGACCUAGCACCCUGGAUUCCCUUCAUAGGUAAUAGAGCUAAGUGGGAUUGCAUCAACAUGAUUUUUUUCACCCCAAAGUAGACAGUUAAAAUAUGUGGACUAAAAGCAGACAUUUCUCAUGUUCAGUACAGCAUUGCAGAUUCAUCAGAUAAAUGCUUGUUCUGGCGCGAUUUACCUUCAGUAAACCAAUGAAAAUAAAGUAUUCCUUAAUUUGGA